GAUGAACGCUGGCGGCGUGCCUAAUACAUGCAAGUCGAGCGAACGGACGAGAAGCUUGCUUCUCUGAUGUUAGCGGCGGACGGGUGAGUAACACGUGUAUAACCUACCUAUAAGACUGGGAUAACUUCGGGAAACCGGAGCUAAUACCGGAUGAUAUUUUGAACCGCAUGGUUCAAAAGUGAAAGACGGUCUUGCUGUCUCUUAUAGAUGGAUCCGCGCUGCAUUAGCUAGUUGGUAAGGUAACGGCUUACCAAGGCAACGAUGAAUAGCCGACCUGAGAGGGUGAUCGGCAACACGGGAACUGAGACACGGAACAGAAUACUAAGGGAGGAAGCAGUAGGGAAUAUGCCGAAAUGGGCGAAAGAAUGACGGAGAAACGCCGAGCGAGUGAUGAAGGUAUUAGGAUCGUAAAACUCUGUUAGUAGGGAAGAACAUAUGUGUAAGGAAAUGUGCACAUCUUGACGGUAAAUAAUCAGAAAGAAACGGCUAACUACGUG
RNAcentral lists this ribosomal RNA (497 nucleotides) under uncultured bacterium. Its description in RNAcentral is "partial 16S ribosomal RNA". It matches the Rfam family "Bacterial small subunit ribosomal RNA", at positions 28 to 507 of the family's 1533-position model. The record is from RNAcentral.